CAGGAAGAGUUUACUACCUAAGCUAUUUCUUACUCCACCUAAACCGGAAAAUUGAUACUAAAAAUUUUUAUAUCAAAUAUGGAUGCAAAUAUAUAUUAAGAAUUCAGAAGAAACAUCUUUCCAAAAAAUUAACAAAGAUACUAAAGUAUUGGCGAAAGAAAUAGUACCCCACCAUGAAAAUCUAUUGGAUAUAUGAAUACCAAGGUGAUAUAGAAAUUAACUUAUAGACAUAGUACUGUGAAGGAAAGGAUUUAUAUAAACAAUUUACUUCUUCUUGUCUUCUGUUGUUAAACAACGUACCUUUUGUAUAAUGGGCUUGUUAGAAUCGGUUUGGUUAGCCUACUAAAGCUACUUAUAUAAUAAAAUCAAACAUUCCCGAAACUAGGUGAUCAAUUCUAGAGCAGCCAAUAGGGCCAACCAUUUACUGUUUCAAAAGUUUUGGAGGACUUUAGAAUAGGGGUGAAAUACCAAUCGAACCUAGAAAUAGCUGGUUUUCUACAAAAUUCUUAUUAGAGAAAUAAUGUGACAUUAGUUACUUUUUAAAAACUAAAUAAGUGCUAAUGUAAAACAUUUUGAUAGACCAAGAAUGAUAAGAUUGUUGGUCGAGAGAGAAACAACUCAGAUUAUAAGCCAAGGACAUAAAUUAAUUAAACGUAGACACAACAAAAAGUAAAAAUAGAGAACAAGUAGGCUUGGAGGCAGCCACCUUAUUGACAACGCGUAACAGCGGUUCCUAAAAACAUAUUUGUUAAAAAUUAUGAUGGCUAAGUAAUUCCGAAACUAUAAUAAAUAAGUAGUAGAACAGACUAUUAACAAAUAAUAGUGGAAAUAAUGCAAGCAUGAAUAUCCACCCAUUCUUUAGGUUUAGCUAAAACAAUCCUUAAAAACUACAGGUUUGUUAACUCAGAAAUUAAUCACCCAAGAAAUAAGUUAACACAACUAAUUGUACCAUCUAACCAAAGAAAGUCAAACAACUUGAUUAAUUUUUCCAAAGGAACUCGGCAAAAUUGGAUCUAAAACCACUAUCAGGAUCGACUGUUUACCAAAAACAUAGCCCUACUACAAAAUUGUAAGGUGAAGCCUGCCCAAUGACUGCUAAUAACUUAAUUAAAAUCAGUCCAAUGGCCGCGGUAACUCUGACCGUGAUAAAGUAGCAUAAUCACUUGUCACCUAAUUAGUGACUGGAAUGAAUGGCUAAACGAAUCCUUCCCUGUCUCUGGAAAAACUCUGGCGAAUUUGAAACGAUAGUGAAGAUGCUAUCAAAUAAUUGUAAGACGAAAAGACCCUAUCGAGCUUUACUGGAAGCUUGCACAAUAACAUACUCGAUUAUAACAAAAAGUUUAAAAUUGCAAGAUUGACAGUUUGGUUGGGGCGACCACCCCUAAAAAUGUAUCAGGGGAAUUCUGAAGGUUAUUAUAAUAUGAAAAAUUACCUUACUGAAGACAAACAAGUCAACCAGUUACAAUAAGUAGGACAUAUUGACCCGUUAUUUUGCUCAUAUUAAAUAGCGACUAUGAAAAAAGUUACCGUAGGGAUAACAGGGUAAUAUUUUUAGAGAGUUCAUAUCGAUGAAAAUGUUUGCCACCUCGAUGUUGAAUUGUGAUAUCCUGAAGGUGCAGAAGCUCUCAAGGGUUGGUCUGUUCGACCAUUAAAAUCACACAUGAUUUGAGUUCAUUCCGUCGUAAGACAGGAAGGUUUCUAUCUACAAUUAAAAGAACUAAUUACAGACUCUAGUACGAAAGGAAUGAGUAAUGUCAUUGCAAAAAAUGAAAUAAUUAAUCUGAUUUAAUAUAAGUUUUCUAAUCACAGUUCAACAAUUAUAU
RNAcentral lists this ribosomal RNA (1823 nucleotides) under Aurelia sp. 3 sensu Dawson et al. (2005). Its description in RNAcentral is "16S ribosomal RNA". The stretch from base 232 to 1732 matches the Rfam family "Bacterial large subunit ribosomal RNA". Lineage: Eukaryota; Metazoa; Cnidaria; Scyphozoa; Semaeostomeae; Ulmaridae. The record is from RNAcentral.